AGCUACAUUUGACUACUGGGUCU
This 23-nucleotide microRNA is filed under the name Petromyzon marinus (sea lamprey). RNAcentral's name for it is "pma-miR-222-3p". Its record names the gene pma-miR-222-3p. Lineage: Eukaryota; Metazoa; Chordata; Hyperoartia; Petromyzontiformes; Petromyzontidae. The record is from miRBase by way of RNAcentral.